Molecule: ribosomal RNA, 253 nt
Filed under: uncultured bacterium
Lineage: Bacteria
Description: partial 16S ribosomal RNA
Rfam family: Bacterial small subunit ribosomal RNA
Source: RNAcentral
UACGUAGGGUGCGAGCGUUAAUCGGAAUUACUGGGCGUAAAGCGUGCGCAGGCGGUUGCUUAAGUCCGUUGUGAAAGCCCCGGGCUUAACCUGGGAAUGGCAGUGGAAACUAGGCGACUUGAAUCUGGCAGAGGGGGGUGGAAUGCCACGUGUAGCAGUGAAAUGCGUAGAGAUGUGGCGGAACACCGAUGGCGAAGGCAGCCCCCUGGGUCAAGAUUGACGCUCAGGCACGAAAGCGUGGGGAGCAAACAGG